UAUGUAAUUGUUAGAUCAUGUGGUUGUUUUAUGUUUAAUUUUUUGAGGAACAUUCAUGGUAUUUUCCACAAUGGCUGUACUUAUUUACACUUCCACCAACAAU
RNAcentral lists this microRNA precursor (103 nucleotides) under Marmota monax (woodchuck). The record is from RNAcentral. Lineage: Eukaryota; Metazoa; Chordata; Mammalia; Rodentia; Sciuridae.